CGGGUUCCCACCGCCUGAAGGGCGAGACAAGCCCGACCUGCUACAGGCACUCGUGGGGAUGUGGAAACAGGAAGAGAACUAGAACUGGAAGUAAGGCAUUGAAGAUGUGACUGAAUUGCUGCAAUCUCAUGAUCAAAUUUGAAUGGAUGAGGAGUUGCUUUUUAGGGAUGAGCAAAGAAAGUGGCUUCUCGAGAUGGAAUCUACUGGUUGCUCCUUGAGGGCAGGACAGUUCUUAUGGCUUUAUCCGUUGCCUAAGCACAGAGAGGUCUGCGAGGUCAAAACUAUUGUCAUGAUAGCAAGAUGCCUGUCUUUUUCAUUUAUUCUCACAGUGUGCAGAGGCUACAUGAUGUGUGAUGACAUCCUCAUUGAUGUUAAUGAAUGGUGCUAUACUUGAAUUUUCUAAGGUGUCAUUAGAUGAGGUCUUGCUGUGUUGCCCAGGCUAUUCACAGCUGCCAUCAUAGUGAACUACAGCCUGAAACUCCUGGGUUCAAGAGAUCCUUCUGCCUCAGCCUCCUGAGUAGCUGGAACUAUAGGCAUGCACCACCAAGCCUGGGCUUUUAAAAAAAUUUUUAAAAGAAUUUUGAGACAGGAUCUUGCCAUGUUGCUCAGGCUAUUCUUCAACUCCUAGCCCUGAGUGAUCUUGCUUUGGGACUCUCAAAAUGUUGAGUUAAUAGGCGUGAGCCACCAUACCCAGCCAAAAAUUUUUUUAGAGAUGGGAAUGGAAUGAUCUUGAAUAGUGCUGGUGCCACCUAUGUUGUGGCAUCAUUUUGAAACCAAUCAUUCAGAGUGCUUUUUUUGGUAAGGCAUUAUUUUUUAAUGCAGGUAUGCCACUACUGGAAAAAAAAACAACAAC
This 853-nucleotide non-coding RNA is filed under the name Pan troglodytes (chimpanzee). Lineage: Eukaryota; Metazoa; Chordata; Mammalia; Primates; Hominidae. The record is from RNAcentral.